This 66-nucleotide transfer RNA is filed under the name Curculionidae sp. 6 AH-2016. RNAcentral's name for it is "tRNA-Ser". The record is from RNAcentral. Lineage: Eukaryota; Metazoa; Arthropoda; Insecta; Coleoptera; Curculionidae.
GAAUCAGUUAUAAAGCUAAACUUCUAACUUAGUUCCUAAGCAAUAAUAAAAUUUGUUUAUGAUUCU